Long non-coding RNA from Hipposideros armiger (great roundleaf bat), 1841 nucleotides. RefSeq lists it as uncharacterized. The record is from RefSeq and is a predicted model, not a curated record. Lineage: Eukaryota; Metazoa; Chordata; Mammalia; Chiroptera; Hipposideridae. The transcript has 3 exons.
GCGAGCCCGACUCCCGCCCACUCGGAGGGCACAUCCUCGUGGGAAAAGGCACGAUAAUGUGGGGAGCACACAUGACAUCACGUCUCCUCUCGCUGGCCCCUGCCAUCGUGCCUGCACCUCGCCACGUGUAUCCAACCUCGUCUAAUCGGCCCAGCUGCAAAACACUCCGAGAGCCACUUCCGGUUUGGAUUGCCCACAGGCCUCGGUCACCAGAAACUUCGCCCCAGAGAGGGGGCGGUGCUUGAUCCCCAGGUGGAUGCGCCACCCUGUGGGCAUCACCUGGGCCAGGGCUCCCGUGCCCCGUUGUUUGGCCUUUUGGAAGCAGCCCCUGGUGCAGAGUAGGAUGCUCAGGCCAAAGACACAGAAGUUACAGGUCAUGAGGAGCGCAAGUCAGUGCUGUGCAGGUCAUGUGGUGUGCUGGUCACUCCUGGGUCACGUGGGGGACACCGAAGCAGGCCUUUUCCCACACCUCAGCCUUUCUUCAUGUACACCAAGCCGGGGCCCAGCUCCAGGUCAGACUCUGCCCUGGAGGGUCACUGAGGAUGUCCUCGGUCUUGCAGAAUGUCCCCACGCACCUUGCCCAGGAAGAUGAGGCAUUCCUGGCACUUGGAUCCUGCCAGCCACGUGGUCAGGCACCUUUGGGAACAGUCAUAUUCGACAGGAAGAGCCCUCUGCCAUCCAUGACUCAACCAGUGCUCCGCUGCUGGUUUACUUAAGAAUGGCGGCAAGAUUUUUGCCUCCUGCAUCCCCGCGAGGCCUUAGUGUGCAGACGACCGGUGCCUGGAUACAUCAUGUCUGCAGAGGCUAAAGGUGGAAAAUCCGGGGUUAAGAGUGACAAAGGGGAGAGGGAGAGUAAUAAAGCUCAGAGACCUGACUUUCUCUGCUGCUCUGGAGAGGAGAAAAACUCCUCAUUGUCUGGAAAACUGAAAAUGCACACGGCUUUGGAAAAAAGAUUUUUUAAAGCAGUUAUCUGUGGAUUCUAGGUUGCCGACGCCAAGGCGUAACUGUCUUACAAACCCCAACUGGCAGACUGUGUUUCUCCUGCAAAUGGCUUUGAAUACCAGGUUCUCAGAGUAAAACAGCCUGGCGCUCAGGAAGAAAAAGCCCUGUGGCCAAGGCCCGUUUGCACAAUCCCUGGGCCUCACUGACUAGGAGACGCCUAAAGAAAGAAAGAGCUAGCCUGGACUGUGGCUUCAGUGAGAACAAUCUUAUUUUAAAAAACCCCUAGAGGCCGACUUUCCCUCUUAGGCAGAAGCUAAGAAACUUGUCUCAGGAGAUUUUUCUUUUGCUGUUGAUUCUUAUCGGCAAUACUCCAUUCCAGAAACAUCCCUUGCAGUGUAGCACACAGCUCUGUCUCCAGUAUGUGGUCCCAAGCCUUGUUUGACUUAACCUACGAUAGAAGAGAAUGACGUCCUGCCAUGUGGCACUUCCUGGAAAGAGCCUCCUCUGCUGUGGACAUUAGGAUACCUCUGCGUUUACCAGCAGAGUGGCUCAGGGCCACUUGUUUGCCUUCUUGGAGCUAUUUCUCUGUGUACAGCCUGCCUCCCAGGUGGUCCUGUGGUCGCGAGGGUCAAGGAGACUGUCAGUGUGCAGGCUUUCCUGGAAACGGUAGAGCAUUGUACAAGGUUUCAAUGAGAGAACUGGAGCUGUGCGUGGAGGAGUUGCUGACCCAAAGCUGCCUGGCUUCCCGUACCUGACGUCCCCGCGCGUUUCCAGAGCGCCCGCAGACUUCCAUUCUUCCUGGACUGCGCCCUGGAAAAUGUCUGCAGUGCAUGCAGAGUCACCAGGGUGAGUUGGAACUGGCAUAAGGUUGAUCCGUCACUCAUAGGACAUCACUUGCC